RNAcentral lists this ribosomal RNA (203 nucleotides) under Acinetobacter baumannii. RNAcentral's name for it is "partial 16S ribosomal RNA". It matches the Rfam family "Bacterial small subunit ribosomal RNA", at positions 1 to 214 of the family's 1533-position model. The record is from RNAcentral. Lineage: Bacteria; Pseudomonadati; Pseudomonadota; Gammaproteobacteria; Moraxellales; Moraxellaceae.
UAACUGAAGAGUUUGAUCAUGGCUCAGAUUGAACGCUGGCGGCAGGCUUAACACAUGCAAGUCGAGCGGGGGGAGGUAGCUUGCUACCGGACCUAGCGGCGGACGGGUGAGUAAUGCUUAGGAAUCUGCCUAUUAGUGGGGGACAACAUCUCGAAAGGGAUGCUAAUACCGCAUACGUCCUACGGGAGAAAGCAGGGGAUCUU